AUUGAACGCUGGCGGCAUGCCUUACACAUGCAAGUCGAACGGUAACGGGCCUUCGGGUGCCGACGAGUGGCGAACGGGUGAGUAAUGCAUCGGAACGUACCUUUCAGUGGGGGAUAACGUAGCGAAAGUUAUGCUAAUACCGCAUAUUCUGUGAGCAGGAAAGCAGGGGAUCGCAAGACCUUGCGCUGAUUGAGCGGCCGAUGUCAGAUUAGCUAGUUGGUGAGGUAAAAGGCUCGCCAAGGCGACGAUCUGUAGCGGGUCUGAGAGGAUGAUCCGCCACACUGGAACUGAGACACGGUCCAGACUCCUACGGGAGGCAGCAGUGGGGAAUUUUGGACAAUGGGGGCAACCCUGAUCCAGCCAUGCCGCGUGAGUGAAGAAGGCC
This 385-nucleotide ribosomal RNA is filed under the name uncultured bacterium. RNAcentral's name for it is "bacterial SSU rRNA". It matches the Rfam family "Bacterial small subunit ribosomal RNA", at positions 30 to 416 of the family's 1533-position model. The record is from RNAcentral.